This 467-nucleotide ribosomal RNA is filed under the name uncultured bacterium. Its description in RNAcentral is "partial 16S ribosomal RNA". It matches the Rfam family "Bacterial small subunit ribosomal RNA", at positions 29 to 507 of the family's 1533-position model. The record is from RNAcentral.
ACGAACGCUGGCGGCGUGCUUAACACAUGCAAGUCGCACGGAAAGGCCCUGCUUUUGUGGGGUGCUCGAGUGGCGAACGGGUGAGUAACACGUGAGUAACCUGCCCUUGACUUUGGGAUAACUUCAGGAAACUGGGGCUAAUACCGGAUAGGAGCUCCUGCUGCAUGGUGGGGGUUGGAAAGUUUCGGCGGUUGGGGAUGGACUCGCGGCUUAUCAGCUUGUUGGUGGGGUAGCGGCUUACCAAGGCUUUGACGGGUAGCCGGCCUGAGAGGGUGACCGGCCACAUUGGGACUGAGAUACGGCCCAGACUCCUACGGGAGGCAGCAGUGGGGAAUAUUGCACAAUGGGCGGAAGCCUGAUGCAGCAACGCCGCGUGCGGGAUGACGGCCUUCGGGUUGUAAACCGCUUUCGCCUGUGACGAAGCGUGAGUGACGGUAAUGGGUAAAGAAGCACCGGCUAACUACGUG